This 206-nucleotide long non-coding RNA is filed under the name Ictidomys tridecemlineatus (thirteen-lined ground squirrel). RNAcentral describes it as "lncRNA (ENSSTOG00000032969.1)". The record is from RNAcentral. Lineage: Eukaryota; Metazoa; Chordata; Mammalia; Rodentia; Sciuridae.
UUGUUUUGUUGUAGUGCUUGGGCUUGAAUCCAGGGCCUCAUGAAUGCUAAGCAUAUGCUGUCCUGCUGAGCAACAUCCCCAGUUCCUAAUCUUCAUAUGACUAAUUUGCUGGUGCCUGAAACAGGGCCCCUUCUGGACAUGUUGAUGGCUUGCCACCUGGAGCAGGCAGGGACCAACCCCUACUGGUAAGCUAUGGGAAAUUCCCU